UGAGGAAUUUUGCGCAAUGGGAGCAAUCCUGACGCAGCAACGCCGCGUGGGUGAUGAAGGCCUUCGGGUCGUAAAGCCCUGUCAGGUGGGAAGAAUGUCCCGGGACUGAACAGGUUCCGGGAGUGACGGUACCACCAGAGGAAGCACCGGCUAACUCCGUGCCAGCAGCCGCGGUAAUACGGAGGGUGCAAGCGUUAUUCGGAAUUACUGGGCGUAAAGCGCGUGUAGGCGGUGCUGCAAGUCUGAUGUGAAAGCCCCGGGCUUAACCCGGGAAGUGCAUUGGAAACGGGGGGACUUGAGUACAGGAGAGGAUGGGGGAAUUCCCGGUGUAGAGGUGAAAUUCGUAGAGAUCGGGAGGAAUAUCAGUGGCGAAGGCGCCCAUCUGGACGGUAACUGACGCUGAGACGCGAAAGCGUGGGGAGCAAACA
This 428-nucleotide ribosomal RNA is filed under the name uncultured prokaryote. Its description in RNAcentral is "bacterial SSU rRNA". It matches the Rfam family "Bacterial small subunit ribosomal RNA", at positions 355 to 774 of the family's 1533-position model. The record is from RNAcentral.